UAGUACGAGUCUCAAUGCAACGUGUCCUUCAGUACGUCUGUCUGUUUCUAAGCAAGAUAGUCUCCGUUUUGAAGUCUUCUUUAUCGGCUAUGGCAGUUGAGUACCGAUCUUUGUGAAUGGGUAUCAACAGUUUCGACAACCCUUCUUCUUGUUAAUAAUGGAAUAAAACACAAGCAAUAACUACAACACGGACUUAUCUAAGUAGCAGCAGAAACAGCUGUUGAUUCGCGUGUCGAAUAAAUCCCAUCGAAUGUUUUCGUUUCUCUCUCUCUCUCCCUCUCUGUCUUUCCCUAUCGGAGCGUCGCGGCGUCUAGCCGGCCCUACAGUUUGACAGCCAUAAUCGUAUGAUGCUGCUGCCUGCUGCUGCUUUUGUGUUGAACACCUUUACAAUUUUGGGUGUGUUUCAUAUUAGCAUAUGUAUAAACGCCAGCUUACAUAAUCAACAGACUGCAAAAAUGAUAACACAUGAAACAAGAAAAGAAGUGCCCACACAGCAUUUAUACGGUUCUUUUUGGCUGUCUCCCGCAAAAAUCACAGUUUUUUGUGCGGACAUUGGUUUUGGAACCACUUUAUUCCUAUGUUUAUAUGUGGACUACUCCCAGUGCUAUCUUUCAAUAAAAAAUGUGUGGGCUAAAUAAAAAGUU
Molecule: long non-coding RNA, 644 nt
Organism: Drosophila obscura
Lineage: Eukaryota; Metazoa; Arthropoda; Insecta; Diptera; Drosophilidae
Exons: 2
Source: RefSeq, a predicted model, not a curated record